UGACGAGUGGCGGACGGGUGAGUAAUGUCUGGGAAACUGCCUGAUGGAGGGGGAUAACUACUGGAAACGGUGGCUAAUACCGCAUAACGUCGCAAGACCAAAGAGGGGGACCUUCGGGCCUCUUGCCAUCAGAUGUGCCCAGAUGGGAUUAGCUAGUUGGUGAGGUAACGGCUCACCAAGGCGACGAUCCCUAGCUGGUCUGAGAGGAUGACCAGCCACACUGGAACUGAGACACGGUCCAGACUCCUACGGGAGGCAGCAGUGGGGAAUAUUGCACAAUGGGCGCAAGCCUGAUGCAGCCAUGCCGCGUGUAUGAAGAAGGCCUUCGGGUUGUAAAGUACUUUCAGCGGGGAGGAAGGUGUUGUGGUUAAUAACCGCAGCAAUUGACGUUACCCGCAGAAGAAGCACCGGCUAACUCCGUGCCAGCAGCCGCGGUAAUACGGAGGGUGCAAGCGUUAAUCGGAAUUACUGGGCGUAAAGCGCACGCAGGCGGUCUGUCAAGUCGGAUGUGAAAUCCCCGGGCUCAACCUGGGAACUGCAUUCGAAACUGGCAGGCUUGAGUCUUGUAGAGGGGGGUAGAAUUCCAGGUGUAGCGGUGAAAUGCGUAGAGAUCUGGAGGAAUACCGGUGGCGAAGGCGGCCCCCUGGACAAAGACUGACGCUCAGGUGCGAAAGCGUGGGGAGCAAACAGGAUUAGAUACCCUGGUAGUCCACGCCGUAAACGAUGUCUACUUGGAGGUUGUGCCCUUGAGGCGUGGCUUCCGGAGCUAACGCGUUAAGUAGACCGCCUGGGGAGUACGGCCGCAAGGUUAAAACUCAAAUGAAUUGACGGGGGCCCGCACAAGCGGUGGAGCAUGUGGUUUAAUUCGAUGCAACGCGAAGAACCUUACCUGGUCUUGACAUCCACAGAACUUUCCAGAGAUGGAUUGGUGCCUUCGGGAACUGUGAGACAGGUGCUGCAUGGCUGUCGUCAGCUCGUGUUGUGAAAUGUUGGGUUAAGUCCCGCAACGAGCGCAACCCUUAUCCUUUGUUGCCAGCGGUCCGGCCGGGAACUCAAAGGAGACUGCCAGUGAUAAACUGGAGGAAGGUGGGGAUGACGUCAAGUCAUCAUGGCCCUUACGACCAGGGCUACACACGUGCUACAAUGGCGCAUACAAAGAGAAGCGACCUCGCGAGAGCAAGCGGACCUCAUAAAGUGCGUCGUAGUCCGGAUUGGAGUCUGCAACUCGACUCCAUGAAGUCGGAAUCGCUAGUAAUCGUGGAUCAGAAUGCCACGGUGAAUACGUUCCCGGGCCUUGUACACACCGCCCGUCACACCAUGGGAGUGGGUUGCAAAAGAAGUAGGUAGCUUAACCUUCGGGAGGGCGCUUACCACUUUGUGAUUCAUGACUGGGGUGAAGUCGUAACAAGGUAACCGUAGGGGAACCUGCGGUUGGAUCACCUCCUUACCUUAAAGAA
This 1457-nucleotide ribosomal RNA is filed under the name Salmonella enterica subsp. enterica serovar Muenchen. Its description in RNAcentral is "bacterial SSU rRNA". It matches the Rfam family "Bacterial small subunit ribosomal RNA". The record is from RNAcentral. Lineage: Bacteria; Pseudomonadati; Pseudomonadota; Gammaproteobacteria; Enterobacterales; Enterobacteriaceae. RNAcentral also lists the same sequence under 1 other name.